CAAGAACGCGGUACUACGAUAAGCUUAGGAAGUGAAACAAAAUCUAAUCAAACACUGUUAGUAAUACCAAAAUUGAAUUUAUAUCAAAUUUUAACCAAAGUUGCAGUUUUCAACUAUCAUCAACUGCAGACCUGCAGUUUCGAUCAAUAGCAAUUCAAACAAAGUUCUCCCAAUUUUCAUUAUAAGGAAAACGUUAAGGCGUAAUGAGUAGAUGAAGAAGAUCAACCGAAGUCAAGUGACAAGUAAUUGUUUAGGGAUUCAAUUUUUUUCCAUCUAAUUUUCCCUUUUUUUCCUUCGAUUGUUCAAUUAUCUUUGUUUAUAUUUCACAUUUUUGCAUUAUUGAUAAUUUUGUAUGAACAGUCAUGAUUGUGCGUCAAAUUCUAAUUACCUAGGGUUUCCAAUUCUUCUUCUUUCCUUGUUAUUUUCUUACUUUUGUCUUUAGAUUGUUCAAUAAUUUUCCUUCUUGUAUUGCUAAUUCAAGUAAUAGAUUAUUGAUUAACUGAUUUGAAGAAUCCAAACUAACUGUUGUGGUAUUUACAGCGAAACAGAGAUAUCUACCAGCAAGACUAAUGAUAAAGAAAAGAAUUCGUGUUCAGAUGACUUUGAUGACAGUACUGUCUAGGGCUGAUAUUAGUCUAGUGGAAUAUGGUGGCAUUUGCAACUAUACAAUUCCAAGAGUUGCCUCGCGUAAUCAAUAUAACAGCACUUCCUAUGAAUGAUGUUGAGAAAUAUGGACUAAAGGCAAUUGAUUUCUCCUUGGUUAAUAAAGGAACGGGGGAUCGCUUAUAGUUUAUGCAAGGAUCAAAUGGAAACUAUAGGAUUAUAAUGAGAUGACUGGAUGAAGCAUUGACCAGAUGUUGCAUAGGUGAAGAAGAAGAAGAUUAACAUCUCUUCCUCAUUUCCUUAUCCAUCUUUAUAUAUAGGAUGGAAAAGGAAGCUACAUAUUACGAAGAACAAUCAAGAACUAGUAUUUUUUUUUUUUGACGGUAGGAACUAGUAUUAGUUAGAGAUGAAUUUUGUUUUUUUUUUCUUUUGCAAAAAGAUUGGAAAAUUGUUUCUGAAGCAAACGAUGUGAGGAUUUGUUAUUUCAAAUCCAUUAUCAUGUACAGAUAAUUAUUAUCAAUAUUUAUUAUGUUUUUUCUUAUUAUGGUGGUCUAUUUCAUUUUUCUCGUAAGUAAUGUAUUGUAACAAAUUUAGGCAAAUAAACUUUUCAUGGCCACGAAUGAAUUCGUAGCAAUGGAUUCUUUUUGAACACAUGACAGUUGUAGAUAGAAAAAAUCAUGGUUUGGAAUAUGAAUGGUGGUGGAGUUGUUAUUUUAA
Beta vulgaris subsp. vulgaris (sugar beet) is the source of this 1320-nucleotide long non-coding RNA. RefSeq lists it as uncharacterized. The record is from RefSeq and is a predicted model, not a curated record. The transcript is spliced from 4 exons. Lineage: Eukaryota; Viridiplantae; Streptophyta; Magnoliopsida; Caryophyllales; Amaranthaceae.